This is a long non-coding RNA of Lemur catta (Ring-tailed lemur), 486 nucleotides long. RefSeq lists it as uncharacterized. Lineage: Eukaryota; Metazoa; Chordata; Mammalia; Primates; Lemuridae. The record is from RefSeq and is a predicted model, not a curated record. The transcript is spliced from 3 exons.
GCAUACUAACCUGGGCUCUGGGCAAGUCAGAAAUGCAGGAGAAUUAAUGUCCUCGGAAGCCACCCUCAACCAAUGGCCAGGGAUUUGACGGAGAAGUUAUAAGAAGACCAUUUGCCAAACCUCGUAAGUGGCAUGACUAGGACUCAACUUCAGAAAACCAGAAGAGCAAGACAUUGGGGAAUUAAUAUCUGCUAGAGAAAUCUGUGCCUCUGCUUGGCCUGACCGUGGCUGGGAUACAACAGUGGGACUCCUGCUCACAAACUGGACGGUGGGUGAAAGGCCCUCCCGAUGAGCCUUCCAAAAGUUUUGUCAGAUGCCAGAGUGAGGUUGGAUAACACCACUGGGCCACAACAUCCAUGCAUGCAAGAUCUGUUUCCUGGGAUGAAAGUAUACCUAGGAGACCAAAUGCCUCCCACCUUGUCCCUUAAAGCUAAUUUCCCUUUGGCUGACACUGUGCAGCAAAGUGUAUUAAUACCCACGAUGGGU